Molecule: long non-coding RNA, 997 nt
Organism: Callithrix jacchus (white-tufted-ear marmoset)
Lineage: Eukaryota; Metazoa; Chordata; Mammalia; Primates; Cebidae
Source: Ensembl
AUCAUGUUUAUUUUCCAUGUUCUGAAGGAGGUUCCAUGUAAAAAAUGAAGAGGGUGUGUGUCCAGUGUGUGGCAGCAGUUUAGCUGGACUGCACAUCCAGAGAGGAUAUACAUUGCUUAAACAUUUAAAUAGAUUUCUUACCCAUCUAUGAAAUAGAUACAGAAUUAUGUAAGAUUAAAAGGUUAGCCCCAUUGCCACUACUUUUGAGACAAGAGAUAAAUUAUACAAUGAAAUUUCCUGUCCUCAAACCAAUGAAUCAUCCUAAGCUUUUUUCAUAUCUCAAAGGUUGGUGCCAUCUGAAUGGACAGGACACCAUCUUCCCCAUCCUCACCCUCACAGAAUGGAGAGGUUGGCAUUAGCAGCCCAUCAGCAGGAAUGAGACACUGCUACACAUGAAUGGAGAAACACCUUUGUGAUGUCAUGAGAGGCUAGAACUUUAAACAGAAUGAAAGAAAGGAGAGUUAAAAGCAUUGAAAGGAUUCUGUGGAGUAACACUCUCAGAGCCAGUUUGCCAGGUACUGUGCUAGGCAUGGGGAAUACAGUGGCAACAAGGUGGAUAUCAUCCCAGCCUCACAACUCUCAAGGGCAAUGUCCAGGUGACACGGAGAGCUAACCAACUAAUGCCUGAAUCGGAGAAUCUGGAAACAUCAACUUGUGAGCAACUUAGCAACUUAGCACAAAGCCAAAUGUGUCCCCAUAUGGCACAACAGGAAGAUCACUGGAAAUUAAAAAGAGAUACACCUGCUCUGAACCUGGCUUUGCCACUAACCAGACUUUUCUCAAAGAAUGCAUCUGCCCUUGAGCCACCCACUGUCCGGAGCAGCGCUUUUCAUCUUCUCUCUGGACAUUGCUGCAAGAAAUGCAAACUGUUUAGAGAUUCUGAAAUUGCCUUUCUAUCUAUAGAAAGCUCUGCAUCACUUAAGACCAAGAGAAAGGCUUGACCUCCACCACCCACCAGACUGCUGAAGUUACUCUAUGCUGACCUGGCAAAAACGAG